GACGAACGCGUGCCCCUUUCCUACUACAUUCACUUAGAACGCUUAAGAGAGGAGCUUUCUCUUCUUGUAUGAGUUGCGAACGGGUGAGUAACGCGUAGGUAACCUGCCUUGUAGCGGGGGAUAACUAUUGGAAACGAUAGCUAAUACCGCAUAACAAUGGAUGACACAUGUCAUUUAUUUGAAAGGGGCAAUUGCUCCACUACAAGAUGGACCUGCGUUGUAUUAGCUAGUAGGUGAGGUAAUGGCUCAACUCUGCGACGAUACAUAGCCGACCUGAGAGGGUGCGAGGCCACACUGGGACUGAGACACGGCCCAGACUCCUACGGGAGGCAGCAGUAGGGAAUCUUCGGCAAUGGGGGCAACCCUGACCGAGCAACGCCGCGUGAGUGAAGAAGGUUGUCGGAUCGUAAAGAGAUGUGGUAAGUCAAGAACGGGUGUGAGAGUGGAAAGUUCACACUGUGACGGUAGCUGACCAGAAAGGGAAGGAUAAAUACGGG
This 497-nucleotide ribosomal RNA is filed under the name uncultured bacterium. Its description in RNAcentral is "partial 16S ribosomal RNA". It matches the Rfam family "Bacterial small subunit ribosomal RNA", at positions 28 to 507 of the family's 1533-position model. The record is from RNAcentral.